CCCAUCAUUCUUUCUUACAGCCCAGCUUUCAUUUUGCAAACUUUUUUCUUCUUCUUUUCCAAGCGAGGCUGAUGUUACAUUUCCUGAUUGGUGACAAAACAGGUUCUUUAGUGGCAAAACAACAGUACUUGGGUACCAUAUGUUGCAUUUAAAUGCUGUAAGACAGCUGUGAAGCCUGAGUGUUACUGGAUGUGGGCCAGCUCCCAGAAGAAGCCUUUCACUAGUUGGUAAAUGUUUCCAGGGACAGCAGGAAGAAGCCACUUUUCAUGGAGCAACUUCCAGAUGCAGGACGCAGAAGAUUAGAGUGCAUCUGUGUGCAUGAGCAUAUGUGAGCAUCUAUUUUUCCAUGUGCACACUAUUACCGCAUUGCAACAUGGCCAGGCACAAUCUAUGCCAAUAUCUCUAAUGAAGCUAGUACAAAGGUCAGCGUUCCUACAAUUUAGACUAUAAAUGACUUUUUCCAGCUAGAAGGCCUAAUAUUUGUGUCUAUGUGGCUGCACUUGUGUUGAAACUUUUUAUUAAGAAACAAUCCCACCUUAGCCGUAACUAAGAAAUAACUGGCAAUUCUAUUCAGCCACACAAGAGGUGAACGGUAGAUAUGCUGCUGCAGUGUAUCUGACUUUAUUAUUUACCCCCACAGAAGCUGUCUGUCAAUCACAUCAUGCUCCUACCCAUACUCGCCCAAGGGUAGAGUGCUAGAGCACCUUCACAACAAUGUUAUAUUGUUCACUACAUAUACCAUAUCUACCACAGAGAGGCCGAGGAUUCAAAGGGGAGACCAUAAGGUAUUCAGGCAUCAGCCUUGAGGUAAGACCGGCCAGAUGUGGCGACCCAGAGCUCUUUACAGCUGGAUGUGCAGCGGGGCACUAAAAAAUGGGGAACUCACCGGGAUGUGCAUCAUCUGUUUUAGCUCGUCAGUCUUCCCUGACUGACCCGCUGAGUGCUGUUUUCAUUCCUCGUGGAUAAUUUCUUUUACAGUUUUGCAAGACUGUCAUCAAACCUGAAGCACCGAUCCCCACCUGCCUGAACUGUUGUCCAUCACCCCUAAUGACAACCAGACAUCCCCACAGACAGGCCACAAAGGUGUUAACUUCCCCACAUUUUCCUCUAAGACAGGCAAAUGCUUCUUUCUGGACUACUGAAGCUCAUUUUAUAUGACUGUGAUGUGGGAAUUGCCCACUUUCUGUUAAGUGUACAAUUUGGGAUGCUUUCACAAACUACCCUAGGCUCCAAAAAGAACCACAGAAAAACCCGAUCUAUCUUUGGCAUGUAAUAAUCUACUGAAGGAUGAUGUCACUCAGGCUGGAUGACAUGAGAAAAACUCCUGAGGACC
This 1333-nucleotide long non-coding RNA is filed under the name Oryzias sinensis (Chinese medaka). RNAcentral describes it as "lncRNA (ENSOSIG00000011342.1)". Lineage: Eukaryota; Metazoa; Chordata; Actinopteri; Beloniformes; Adrianichthyidae. The record is from RNAcentral.